Molecule: ribosomal RNA, 549 nt
Filed under: Chaenomugil proboscideus (snouted mullet)
Lineage: Eukaryota; Metazoa; Chordata; Actinopteri; Mugiliformes; Mugilidae
Description: partial 16S ribosomal RNA
Rfam family: Bacterial large subunit ribosomal RNA
Source: RNAcentral
GGUCCCGCCUGCCCUGUGACCCCUGGUUCAACGGCCGCGGUAUUUUGACCGUGCAAAGGUAGCGCAAUCACUUGUCCCUUAAAUGAGGACCUGUAUGAAUGGCAUAACGAGGGCUUAACUGUCUCCUUUCCCCAGUCAAUGAAAUUGAUCUUCCCGUGCAGAAGCGGGAAUACCAACAUAAGACGAGAAGACCCUAUGGAGCUUUAGACGCUAGAACAGACCAUGUCAGCUACUCCCUAAAGCAAGUAGCAACUAUUGAAUCUCUGUUCCCCUGUCUUUGGUUGGGGCGACCGCGGGGAAGAAAAAAACCCCCAUGUGGACCAGGAGCACAUUACUCCCAAAGUCACGAGCCACAGCUCUAAUACGCAGAAUUUCUGACCAAUAAGAUCCGGCAAAGCCGAUCAACGGACCUAGUUACCCUAGGGAUAACAGCGCAAUCCCCUUUAAGAGUCCAUAUCGACAAGGGGGUUUACGACCUCGAUGUUGGAUCAAGACAUCCUAAUGGUGCAGCCGCUAUUAAGGGUUCGUUUGUUCAACGAUUAAAGUCUU